GACAGAGGGGGCAAGCGUUGCUCGGAAUUACUGGGCGUAAAGGGCGCGUAGGCGGGAUGGCAAGUCGGUCGUGAAAUCCUUCGGCCCAACCGAAGAACGUCGAUCGAUACUGCUGUUCUAGAGGAUUGCAGAGGAGACUGGAAUUCCCGGUGUAGCGGUGAAAUGUGUAGAGAUCGGGAGGAACACCGGUGGCGAAGGCGGGUCUCUGGACCGGUACUGACGCUGAGGCGCGAAAGCGUGGGUAGCAAACGGG
This 253-nucleotide ribosomal RNA is filed under the name uncultured bacterium. Its description in RNAcentral is "partial 16S ribosomal RNA". It matches the Rfam family "Bacterial small subunit ribosomal RNA", at positions 524 to 776 of the family's 1533-position model. The record is from RNAcentral.